UACGUAGGGGGCAAGCGUUGUCCGGAUUUAUUGGGCGUAAAGAGCGUGUAGGCGGCCAUACAGGUCCGUUGUGAAAACUGGAGGCUUAACCUCCAGACGUCGAUGGAAACCGUAUGGCUAGAGUCCGGAAGAGGAGAGUGGAAUUCCUGGUGUAGCGGUGAAAUGCGCAGAUAUCAGGAAGAACACCCGUGGCGAAGGCGGCUCUCUGGGACGGUACUGACGCUGAGGGCACGAAAGCGUGGGGAGCAAACAGG
This 254-nucleotide ribosomal RNA is filed under the name uncultured bacterium. RNAcentral's name for it is "partial 16S ribosomal RNA". It matches the Rfam family "Bacterial small subunit ribosomal RNA", at positions 524 to 776 of the family's 1533-position model. The record is from RNAcentral.